Long non-coding RNA from Strigops habroptila (Kakapo), 641 nucleotides. RefSeq lists it as uncharacterized. NCBI's taxonomy places the organism in Eukaryota, Metazoa, Chordata, Aves, Psittaciformes, Psittacidae. The transcript has 3 exons. The record is from RefSeq and is a predicted model, not a curated record.
GGUCCUGUCUUUUUCCUGUUUUGAGAUAACAUCCUGUUUGUGAAGUACCUUCUUCAUGGAAAUUAAAAUUGAUAAUAAUUUUUGCUCUGGCUCACAGGGGAGAAAUUUGCCUGAAUUCAGUGACACUUCAGUUUCCUUGUUCGGGAUGUGCCAAUGAACGUGGUGGGAGCUGUGAAUCAAAGGCAGCCAAAAGAGGUGGAAUAGACUGAAAUAAUUUAAAAGUAUAAGUACUACGCUUGACAUCAUGAAUUGUGAAAGAAAAUCGCUUCUGAAAACCGAUCUGAGUUCUUGAAAAGAUGCACCUUUUCCUUUCAACCCGUAAACCAGACUUAAAGCUGUUUACUAAGAAGAGAGCACCACCUUGUGUUAAUCGACCUGUGUUGUGAUUAGGAGCUUUUUUGAAAGGAAUUUAGCUCUUCCACCAUGGAAAUGAGCCUGGAGAAAAGUAUCACCAUAUGAUGGAGCCAGUGGAAAAUGAAGAAUAAAUCUCUGCAUUUUUAAGUUUCAAAUGUCUGACUCUAAACUUAAAUCGGGUUGUAAGUAAGUGGGGAAAUAAAAAACCAAGGAAAAAUAUGCCUCUGAAGAAAAAGAACUUAAAGCUGAACUCUGAAGAGGAGUUUAAUGUAUUUGCAUUAAAACUA